This is a long non-coding RNA of Octopus sinensis (East Asian common octopus), 172 nucleotides long. RefSeq lists it as uncharacterized. The transcript has 3 exons. The record is from RefSeq and is a predicted model, not a curated record. NCBI's taxonomy places the organism in Eukaryota, Metazoa, Mollusca, Cephalopoda, Octopoda, Octopodidae.
AUGUUGCAACUCAUUUCUACAGUUGAGUUAACUGGAGCAACGUGAAAUAAAAUGUCUUGCUCAAGAACACUACACGAAGCCCAGUCCGGGAAUCAAACUCACAAUCUCACGAUCAUAAGCUCAACGCUCCAACCACUGAGCGAUGCACCUUCACAGGGAAGAGGUGGUGAUG